CCUACGGGAGGCUGCAGUAGGGAAUCUUCCACAAUGGGCGAAAGCCUGAUGGAGCAACGCCGCGUGGGUGAAGAAGGUCUUCGGAGCGUAAAACUGUGUUGUUAGAGAAGAAAGUGCGGGAGAGUAACUGUUCACGUUUCGACGGUAUCUAACCGGACAGCCUCGGCUAACUACGUGCCAGCCGCCGCGGUAAUACGUAGGUGGCAAGCGUUAUCCGGAUUUAUUGGGCGUAAAGGGAGCGCAGGGGGUCGGUUAAGUCUGAUGUGAAAGCCUUCGGCUUAACCGGAGUAGUGCAUUGGAAACUGGGAGGCUUGAGUGUAGAAGAGGUGGGCGGAA
RNAcentral lists this ribosomal RNA (336 nucleotides) under uncultured bacterium. RNAcentral's name for it is "partial 16S ribosomal RNA". It matches the Rfam family "Bacterial small subunit ribosomal RNA", at positions 338 to 666 of the family's 1533-position model. The record is from RNAcentral.